Molecule: ribosomal RNA, 440 nt
Filed under: uncultured bacterium
Lineage: Bacteria
Description: partial 16S ribosomal RNA
Rfam family: Bacterial small subunit ribosomal RNA
Source: RNAcentral
CCUACGGGUGGCAGCAGUGGGGAAUAUUGCACAAUGGGGGAAACCCUGAUGCAGCGACGCCGCGUGAAGGAAGACGUAUUUCGGUAUGGAACCUUCUAUCAGCAGGGAAGAAAAUGACGGUACCUGACUAAGAAGCCCCGGCUAACUACGUGCCAGCAGCGGCGGUAAUACGUAGGGUGCAAGCGUUAUCCGGAUUAACUGGGUGUAAUGGGGGCGUAGGCGGGUCAGCAAGUCAGUAGUGAAAGCCCGGGGCUAAACCGCGGGACUGCUUGUGAAACUGGUGAACUAGAUUGCAGGAGGGGUAAGUGGAAUUCCUAGUGUAGCGGUGAAAUGCGUAGAUAGUAGGAGGAACACCAGUGGCGAAGGCGGCUUACUGGACUGUAAAUGACGCUGAGGCUCGAAAGCGUGGGGAGCAAACAGGAUUAGAUACCCCUGUAGUC